AGUGGGAUCCACGUUAUCGGAAGCACUACAUAAUGGGGCCAAUCCAAACUCUCUCUCUCAGUCUGCCAUGGGAGUAGCUUCCUAACUAAGCCAAAGACUCAGAUCAAUCUCCAGUCAACGCAGAAGUAAACGACAUCUCAUUCAGAACUCUCCCCAAAACACUAACCUCAGCUGAUUCUAAACCAAAAUGUUCCCGACAAACUAGGCAUACGUUUCUUCUUCUUCUUCUUCUUCUUCUUCUUCUUGAGGUUCUCUGUUUCCUCCUGUAUUUUCCAAUUUUCUUGAGAGAAGUUGAAGUUAGUAAGAGAUGACGAGCAGGACAGGAUUGCCGGUGGGAUACAGAUUCCACCCAACCGAUUUAGAACUCGUCAACCACUACCUGAGGCUCAAAAUGCUCGGCAAGGACUCCCAGGUUAGCGACAUCGCUGAAGUUGAUCUCUGCAAGUGCGAGCCUUGGCAGUUACCCAAUUUAUCAGCGAUCAAGUCAGAUGACCAAGAAUGGUUCUUCUUUUGUGUCAAGCACCCCAACAGUAACCGGACGAAAAGGGCGACGGAGUCCGGCUACUGGAAACCCACCGGUCAGGAUCGGAAGAUCAGGGUUAAAGGCACCGUGAUUGCUACAAAGAAGACUCUGGUGUUCUAUAAAGGUCGUGUUCCUAAUUCGGUCAGGACCAAUUGGGUUAUCCACGAGUAUCACUCAGCUGCCACUCUUCCUCACCAGAGGCCCUUCGUCCUCUGUCGCUUAAAGAAAAAAACAGAUGAGAAAUCAACCUGUGCUGAAGGCGAGGCAAGCAGCUAUACUGCUUCUGAUUUUGAAAUUCAGCUUCUAGAUGAUCCAACUCAAGAGGUAUAUAUUCAACCAGAAGCAAACUUGUCACUCUUUGAGGCGAACUUUCAGCCACUGGAUUAUGACUUCUCUUACCCACUGCAAUUUCCAGAUUACAAUUCUCAGGGGCUCUCUUCCUUGGGUACCACAGUUACCAAUAGCCAUAAUGAUGAACGCAAUAGGAUGCCAUUUCAGUCUGACGCUGAAGUGGAAGAUGAAGUGUUCGUGAAUUCACUUUUUGUUGAUCAUGACGAAUUCUCCUGUGAAGAAAUUAUUCACCACAACGGCUCCAUGGCACCAGAGCCAUUGGGAAAGGUGUACUAUGCCGAUGUUGGAUUCAGCAGUGACACAGACACUGACGCAGCUCAAACACGGUAUCGAUAUGUUGUAGGUCCAGAAGAAUACGGGCACAGAGAAGGAGGAAAUGGUUUCCUUCAUACUAAUUCCUUGAGACUUGAUGCUUCCCAUCGCAACGUAGCUGCAGAUACGUCUCAUAAGAUCUGUUCCAUUACAUUAGCCAGAUCAGAAUCUCCUCAAAAAGUAAGAACCUUCACACCUCAACGUCAACGAAGAUCCCGCAACUUUGUAGCACAGAGAGCUGCUCAGGGAAGAAGCCAAUCACAGAGGAACAGUUCUCGCAAAGCAGUAUCGCAAGACAAGGCCAAAGAUGCUUCAAGACACAUUUCCAUUGUCGAUCCGACUCAGAAGGAAAAGUCCAUUACAGACUCUGACAAAGCGCCGAAAAUGGCUCCAGUCACCAAUGCAAAGAAGAGUUUGAAGUCAACAUCGGGUGGCUCAGUUGGCAGCAAUCGAAAGGGUUAUUUCACUUUCCAAGAGACAUCUCUACCAUGCCACGAUUCUAGUCCACCCUCCGUGUAUUUUGUCAAACUACUAUUUGGCAUAAUUUUGUUCCUGGUCGUUAUUCGGGAAGUGUUGUUAUAUGGGAACUGGUGAUAAACUUCAUCAAGAGUUUUUUGUGUUCAUUUCACCUGAGAAAUGCUACACUUACCAGGAAAAAUAUUCCAGCCAAGGAUCUUAAUCUGUUGGUGGAAGCGAUGGAGGCAAGCGGUAAAUGAAGAACAUGCUGUUAGAUAUUAGAUUGUAAAGUUGAGGAGUUAGGAUCUAGGAGAAUAUUAUAUGCUUGUACUUCCAAAACUUUUCUGCAUUUAUUUUCUAAUCCAUAACAAGAAUAUUUUUGAUA
Molecule: RNA transcript, 2027 nt
Organism: Alnus glutinosa
Lineage: Eukaryota; Viridiplantae; Streptophyta; Magnoliopsida; Fagales; Betulaceae
Gene name: protein NTM1-like 9
Exons: 7
Source: RefSeq, a predicted model, not a curated record